ACGGAGGGUGCGAGCGUUAAUCGGAAUUACUGGGCGUAAAGCGCGCGUAGGCGGCUUUGUAAGUCGGAUGUGAAAUCCCCGGGCUUAACCUGGGAAUGCAUUCGAUACUGCAGAACUAGAGUAUGGUAGAGGGAAGUGGAAUUUCCGGUGUAGCGGUGAAAUGCGUAGAUAUCGGAAGGAACACCAGUGGCGAAGGCGACUUCCUGGGCCAAUACUGGACGACUGAGGUGGCGAAAAGCGUGGGGAGCAAACACGGGAUUAGAUACCC
This 268-nucleotide ribosomal RNA is filed under the name uncultured bacterium. Its description in RNAcentral is "partial 16S ribosomal RNA". It matches the Rfam family "Bacterial small subunit ribosomal RNA", at positions 525 to 787 of the family's 1533-position model. The record is from RNAcentral.